UCCUCUGUAGUUCAGUCGGUAGAACGGCGGACUGUUAAUCCGUCUGUCACUGGUUCGAGUCCAGUCAGAGGAGCCA
RNAcentral lists this transfer RNA (76 nucleotides) under Klebsiella pneumoniae. RNAcentral's name for it is "tRNA-Asn". It matches the Rfam family "tRNA". Rfam says of the family: Transfer RNA (tRNA) molecules are approximately 80 nucleotides in length. Lineage: Bacteria; Pseudomonadati; Pseudomonadota; Gammaproteobacteria; Enterobacterales; Enterobacteriaceae. The record is from RNAcentral.